Molecule: ribosomal RNA, 467 nt
Filed under: uncultured bacterium
Lineage: Bacteria
Description: partial 16S ribosomal RNA
Rfam family: Bacterial small subunit ribosomal RNA
Source: RNAcentral
ACGAACGCUGGCGGCGUGCUUCACACAUGCAAGUCGAACGGAAAGGCCCUGCUUUUGUGGGGUGCUCGAGUGGCGAACGGGUGAGUAACACGUGAGUAACCUGCCCUUGACUUUGGGAUAACUUCAGGAAACUGGGGCUAAUACCGGAUAGGAGCUCCUGCUGCAUGGUGGGGGUUGGAAAGUUUCGGCGGUUGGGGAUGGACUCGCGGCUUAUCAGCUUGUUGGUGGGGUAGUGGCUUACCAAGGCUUUGACGGGUAGCCGGCCUGAGAGGGUGACCGGCCACAUUGGGACUGAGAUACGGCCCAGACUCCUACGGGAGGCAGCAGUGGGGAAUAUUGCACAAUGGGCGGAAGCCUGAUGCAGCAACGCCGCGUGCGGGAUGACGGCCUUCGGGUCGUAAACCGCUUUCGCCUGUGACGAAGCGUGAGUGACGGUAAUGGGUAAAGAAGCACCGGCUAACUACGUG